RNAcentral lists this small nucleolar RNA (128 nucleotides) under Sorex araneus (European shrew). Lineage: Eukaryota; Metazoa; Chordata; Mammalia; Eulipotyphla; Soricidae. The record is from RNAcentral.
AGGCAAGUAUGUCCACUCACAAAUGAAUAAAUACAUAAGCCAAAAGCAAGUUUGCUAAAAUAAUUGCAAUGUUGUAAAUGUAUUAAUUUCAAAUCUACUGAGGUUGCCCAUUCUACCCUAGUACGGGG